CCUACGGGUGGCAGCAGUGAGGAAUAUUGGUCAAUGGACGAGAGUCUGAACCAGCCAAGUAGCGUGAAGGAUGACUGCCCUAUGGGUUGUAAACUUCUUUUAUAUGGGAAUAAAAUGUUCCACGUGUGGGAUUUUGUAUGUACCAUAUGAAUAAGGGUCGGCUAACUCCGUGCCAGCAGCCGCGGUAAUACGGAGGAUCCGAGCGUUAUCCGGAUUUAUUGGGUUUAAAGGGAGCGUAGGUGGAUUGUUAAGUCAGUUGUGAAAGUUUGCGGCUCAGCCGUAAAAUUGCAGUUGAAACUGGCAGUCUUGAGUAUAGUAGAGGUGGGCGGAAUUCGUGGUGUAGCGGUGAAAUGCUUAGAUAUCACGAAGAACUCCGAUUGCGAAGGCAGUUCACUGGACUGCAACUGACACUGAGGCUCGAAAGUGUGGGUAUCAAACAGGAUUAGAUACCCUUGUAGUC
Molecule: ribosomal RNA, 460 nt
Filed under: uncultured bacterium
Lineage: Bacteria
Description: partial 16S ribosomal RNA
Rfam family: Bacterial small subunit ribosomal RNA
Source: RNAcentral